RNAcentral lists this ribosomal RNA (253 nucleotides) under uncultured bacterium. RNAcentral's name for it is "partial 16S ribosomal RNA". It matches the Rfam family "Bacterial small subunit ribosomal RNA", at positions 524 to 776 of the family's 1533-position model. The record is from RNAcentral.
UACGAGGGGGGCAAGCGUUGUUCGGAAUUAUUGGGCGUAAAGCGUGCGCAGGCGGUUUUGUAAGACUGGCGUGAAAUCCCCGGGCUUAACCUGGGAAUGGCGAUGGUGACUGCAAGGCUAGAGUUUGGCAGAGGGGGGUAGAAUUCCACGUGUAGCAGUGAAAUGCGUAGAUAUGUGGAGGAACACCGAUGGCGAAGGCAGCCCCCUGGGUCAAAACUGACGCUCAUGCACGAAAGCGUGGGGAGCAAACAGG